CCUACCUUCCCAACUCGUUCCAUCUCCGAUAAGGGUACGCAUCACCAUUGAUCUUAAACCACUACUGCUAGACUUAACCUAUGUAAAAAUAGUUAGAACUAUUUAAAUAACAAAAAAUAUUAUACAUAUAUAUAACAUGAUUCAUCAACCUUAAGCUGAAUAUAUCCAUGCAUGCAUAGAUUUGUGGUGGUUUUUGUAGUAUGUUAAAAGUUAUUCUAAAGUUUAUUAUACACUUGUGAUUUUAUGUUAUGAUCAGAAUCGGGUGAAGGUGGAAACGUGAGAUCUUACAGUGGGGAUUCACCAGAGGAUGCAAUGAAAGUGACACGUAGUAUCAUGAUAAUGAAACCAGCUGGGUAUCAGAGUAAUGGAUCAGCACCUGCUUCUCCCGCCGGUUCUACUCCUCCGGUGUCUCCGUUUUCCGGUAAGGUACUUUCAAUAAUAAAAUGUCUAAUUAGACCUUGGCUUUCUGGGAGCUAUGUGGAGUGUGUCUUGAGUGAGUGAGAGAAGCUCAACUUUGUAUAGAGGGGUAAUUCUGUCCUUUAGGCUUAUUUUUUAUUUUUUUUGCUUCUCUUGUAUAAAUAUCUUUUUCCAACUAUAUGGUGUGAUAAACUUCCAUGAUCUAGAGUUUUGUCGUACCUACAGUGCAAUUAAUGAAUGAGUGCUUAUACAUAGACACACAUAGGUAGCAUACAUCCCUUAAACCUCCACAUAUAAAUGCAACAUGUGGCAAUGUGGGUUCAAAAUAAUUACUUAUCCUUUGUUUCACAUUACCAAAAUAACCUCCCACAUAAGUGUAUACAAGAGUGGUACGAAAAAAAGGUAUCUAUCUAUAUUUUCCCUUAAUAAAUUUAUUUUAAGUAAAUUUAAGAUUACUUUAUAAUGAUGAAAACUACCGAUACCAAACUUUAAUUUUCUCAUUCUCAUAGUUAUAAAAGAAUUCCAGAAUUCUCCUUUUACUUAUUGUAAAAACGUGAAAACAAAUGGGUUAAAUGAGGAGGGCGUGAAAAUAAAACGCUUCACAUGGGUUGGGGACCAUAUGAAAAUACAACAGUUCUUUUCAUUAAUUUUUUUAAUCAAUGAUUCGUUUUACAUACGGUGAUAACAAACCGUAUGUAAUGUGGAAACCAAUUUAGACCCAUGGAGUCAUCACAACAAACACACACACACACACACUUAUAUGGUGGGCUAGUCAUCUCCUCAUGAUAGCCAACUACUAUACAUUUUAUUUACUAAACUUUUUGUGAUUUAUAUAUUUUUUAUGAUCAAAAUUGUACUAUUGAAUGCGUGAGUAUUAUUAAGGAGCUUAUGCUGAUAAAUGAUAACGAUUUUUUCUAAUACAUUAAUAAACAUGGCAAUGUGCAAUUUGCUUAAUGUGUUGUAUGUGUAUAUGAUAUGUAGGAGC
This 1402-nucleotide long non-coding RNA is filed under the name Medicago truncatula (barrel medic). RNAcentral describes it as "long non-coding RNA (MTRU_LNC006143)". The record is from RNAcentral. Lineage: Eukaryota; Viridiplantae; Streptophyta; Magnoliopsida; Fabales; Fabaceae.